RNAcentral lists this ribosomal RNA (406 nucleotides) under uncultured bacterium. RNAcentral describes it as "bacterial SSU rRNA". It matches the Rfam family "Bacterial small subunit ribosomal RNA", at positions 355 to 776 of the family's 1533-position model. The record is from RNAcentral.
UGGGGAAUAUUGGGCAAUGGGCGCAAGCCUGACCCAGCAACGCCGCGUGAAGGAAGAAGGCUUUCGGGUUGUAAACUUCUUUUAUCAGGGACGAAGAUGUGACGGUACCUGAUGAAUAAGCCACGGCUAACUACGUGCCAGCAGCCGCGGUAAUACGUAGGUGGCAAGCGUUAUCCGGAUUUAUUGGGUGUAAAGGGCGUGUAGGCGGGACUGCAAGUCAGGUGUGAAAACUAUGGGCUCAACCCAUAGCCUGCACUUGAAACUGUAGUUCUUGAGUGCUGGAGAGGCAAUCGGAAUUCCGUGUGUAGCGGUGAAAUGCGUAGAUAUACGGAGGAACACCAGUGGCGAAGGCGGAUUGCUGGACAGUAACUGACGCUGAGGCGCGAAAGCGUGGGGAGCAAACAGG